This 488-nucleotide ribosomal RNA is filed under the name Lactobacillus kitasatonis. Its description in RNAcentral is "bacterial SSU rRNA". It matches the Rfam family "Bacterial small subunit ribosomal RNA", at positions 559 to 1045 of the family's 1533-position model. The record is from RNAcentral. Lineage: Bacteria; Bacillati; Bacillota; Bacilli; Lactobacillales; Lactobacillaceae.
CGUAAAGCGAGCGCAGGCGGAAAAAUAAGUCUGAUGUGAAAGCCCUCGGCUUAACCGAGGAACUGCAUCGGAAACUGUUUUUCUUGAGUGCAGAAGAGGAGAGUGGAACUCCAUGUGUAGCGGUGGAAUGCGUAGAUAUAUGGAAGAACACCAGUGGCGAAGGCGGCUCUCUGGUCUGCAACUGACGCUGAGGCUCGAAAGCAUGGGUAGCGAACAGGAUUAGAUACCCUGGUAGUCCAUGCCGUAAACGAUGAGUGCUAAGUGUUGGGAGGUUUCCGCCUCUCAGUGCUGCAGCUAACGCAUUAAGCACUCCGCCUGGGGAGUACGACCGCAAGGUUGAAACUCAAAGGAAUUGACGGGGGCCCGCACAAGCGGUGGAGCAUGUGGUUUAAUUCGAAGCAACGCGAAGAACCUUACCAGGUCUUGACAUCUAGUGCAAUCUGUAGAGAUACGGAGUUCCCUUCGGGGACGCUAAGACAGGUGGUGCA